GUUUUGCAAUGGUUGGUAUAAGGGACCCAUUGCCACAGCUGAUAGAUCUGCAUUCACUUCCUCUUUCCAUGGCUGUAUGUAUGACUGCCUCCAGCUCGCCCUAAAGGCUGACUGAUAACACCUGGACCAGGAGAAAACCUGUCUGCUGACACCAACAAGAUUCCCUACCCUGAUUUUUUUAUCCUGCCUAUUUAUGAGGACAUUGUGAUCUAUGAUGUCAGAAAUGGCACUUAAAUCCAGAAACACGGGAGCAGAAGUGCUGCAACAAUCGGAGGAGAGAAGGAGCUCGUUCAUCACCUUGGUUCAGGCCUGAAGCUGAGCAGAUCACUCAGAAUGCAUGUGGGAUGACUGGAUGGAGCGGAAUUCGAUAC
This is a long non-coding RNA of Paramormyrops kingsleyae, 371 nucleotides long. RefSeq lists it as uncharacterized. NCBI's taxonomy places the organism in Eukaryota, Metazoa, Chordata, Actinopteri, Osteoglossiformes, Mormyridae. The record is from RefSeq and is a predicted model, not a curated record.